RNAcentral lists this ribosomal RNA (253 nucleotides) under uncultured bacterium. Its description in RNAcentral is "partial 16S ribosomal RNA". It matches the Rfam family "Bacterial small subunit ribosomal RNA", at positions 524 to 776 of the family's 1533-position model. The record is from RNAcentral.
UACAGAGGUCGCGAGCGUUAGGCGGAAUCACUGGGCUUAAAGCGUGUGUAGGCGGGGCGUUAAGUACCUUGUGAAAUCCCAUGGCUCAACCAUGGAACUGCUUGGUAUACUGGCGAUCUUGUGCAACCUAGGGGCGAGCGGAACAGAUGGUGGAGCGGUGAAAUGCGCAGAUAUCAGGAGGAACACCAAUAGCGAAGGCAGCUCGCUGGGACGUUACUGACACUGAGGCGCGAAAGCGUGGGGAGCGAACAGG